UCCUCCGUCCACCCUGCCAUUUCUACCUUCUCCCUCAAACCGCUCCUCUCUCUCCACCCUUUCCCCAGUCCGCAUCCGCAUCACCAAUAGAUCUAUCGUCCCACGCGACCUUCUGUGCCAGAUCUACCAUGGACCAUGGCGCACUCGUCUUCCUCAGCGGUGUUGGUUCCUCACCAGAAACAGGACGACAUCGCGCCCCUCCCGCUGAUUCGAUGCCCAAGUGCAACCUAGGAGUCACACAUCCUGGUACGCAUUUGUACAAGUGCCAAUUCCAUGGAGUAGGCAUCUUUUCCGGUCAAAAACUCUACCAACAGUACAUUGAUUUGCAAACCUGGAAUGGAUAGUUAGUUGUUUGUCUCUGGUAAUCUGGUUCUAGCCUCGUAACUCUAUAUUGAUUUGUAUGUAUACACUAGUACUAUCAGUCAAAUAUCAAAUAUCAUCUGUCAGAUUUCUUAUUUAUGAGACUUAUUCUGUUUAUUGGCCAGCUGUUACUGGUCAAGUUUAUCUAUUUUAUUUUUUUGAGAAAGGUGGCCAAGUUUAUCUAAUACAUCAGGUUCCAAAGUAGCCACUGCUAGGAGUGUCGUGAGUUUAGGAUCCAAUACAAGGAUACAUAUAGCAGUGAUUUGUCUGUGACUGUCCAAAUGAGUUGCUGCUAGGAGUGGCUUGAGUUUAGGAUCAGUAGUUGGAUCCCUUCGCAGUCAGAUUUUCAGGAAUAUACUACCAUAAUAUGAUGAUAAACAUAUUCUUUAGAUGCUUUCGGGAAACACUACUACGCAUUGCAGAAAUGGUGAAAUAGUUCCAGAGACACUGUUUCUCUCGAAAUGUCCAUAUUUGCUCCACUGUUAGUGUUCCAUUUAUUACAUUGUUUAUUCUUCUGAUAAGAGUCGGAUUUGUAUGUUAUUUGACCUAUGCAUUGGGCAUGCUCCAUUUUAUUUUAUCUAUGCAUUGGACUUGCUCAAUUUCGGUCCGAUGGUCAAAUAUUAGUGUUCUGAAUUAAUUUUAGUUUAGCUGUUCCUGGAGUAUGGCACAUAAUUUUACAGUAUGCUUUUGAUUGGGUUAAGUUUCUUACUCCCUCCGUCCCGAAAAAAGCUGCGUGGGCUCUAUUCAUUUUGCAAAUUACAAAUGAACCCUCGUAAAACCAAUCCAUUACAAAUCUAGCUAGAUUCAAGAUUAGAAAUUCCGUCCAUGCCGGCCGCGAUCUCCGCCGGCCGCGCCAGCCGCGACACCUGUCCUCCCGCCCGCCCACGAUCAGCUCCUGAUCCCACGCGUGCGAUCGUAGGAUUGGAUCAGCUAGCUGGAUCCCACGCCUAGGAUCGCAUCGCCUCCGCCUGCGACCAGCUUCUGCUCUCCGGAGGCCUGCGCAACUCCCUCGCCGUCGCCGCUCGGCCGCAGUCCAAAGCUCCGGCAGAUCGUCGUCUUCUUCCUGCUCCGGCUCGCCUCCGACCUCUCCCAGGACGCCGAUCGACCGCUCCGCCAAGGAGGCCGCAGAUCAUCCAACCACUCCGGCAGCACAAAAAGCUAUGGCAGAUCGUCACAGAACCUCCCUCCUCGUCUUCACCGGCAGAUCCAGCAGCUCUCUGUCUCGCAUGUGCUGCGCAGGUCGAUGAGGAGAGCUCCAGCAGCUUGUCUGCAACCGCCGCCGCCAUGCCCCAUGUUUCGCUGGCAGCCACCGGCAAUGGCAGAACCUCGCCGCAUUCAUGUCGGUCACCUUUGUUCUGCCCAUCGCGUGUGGGAGCUGCUCCGGGAAGCCCACCUCGCCGCGCCUUUUCGUGUGGAUACUGUACCUUGUCAACCAGAACAAGAAGUAGUGAACAGAAAAAUACCAACCUGAAUAAUGGCUAGCAAUGUUCAUUUUAUACUGGAGAGGAGAACAUAAAUAUUACAGAGACAGAUACUAAUGCAUUUAGUUGUCCUUUAGCAUUACCAAUUCCAAUUCACCGAAACAUGAAGCAAUAUGAGUCUAUGGCUCUGUUGAAACAAGUGUGAACAUACUCUGCACUUCAUACUGGCAAAUAACACUAUCCACUGUGGAGCAACAAUUUAGCUACAGUAUGAGUAAAUUAACGGAACUGAAGCGGUUUUUGUUGGAGUAUGCUAAAUGCACUAGUAGAAUAGAAACAUGGGAAGGAGAUCUUCUGUUAACAAAUUGUAAAAUUCCACAUCAUUGGCAAGGUACGCAGCUAUUAUGAUGCUACUACUGCAUAAGUGAAUAUAAAUAUACUCAUAGCCAGCAAAGAUGCAUUUAUCAAGCAGACAAACAUAGCCAGCAAAGAAAUUAAGUGUCAUGAACCCAUCAAAUCGCAAACAAUGUCCAAUCGCAAACAAUGUGUGCUGCUGCUGUAUCAAAGAAACCUUGGUGCGUUUCAGAUUCUUCACCUUACCUGAACACCCAUAUCCUAAUCCCAGCCUUCAUCAGCAUCAUGUACUUCGGCAACGUGGAUAAUUCAGAGUAUUUCCAUGUUUUGAUUGAUUAGUGCUCCCACCUUACCUAGAAGAUAGCAAAUUGUUAGGGCCACCAAGAUAUCCGAUGGAUCCAUAGCUGCAAUUGACCAAUCUUUUAUGCCAUCUGUGGACAACCAGAUCACCUACAUUUGCGUCGGAAAUAUCUUCUAUGCCAUCUCAAUGGAAGCAGGAAGCAGCACCUUAAUCUUUGACCUUGAAUGUUACAGCAUUUGGAUUGGAUCUGUGUUUUUUAUUUCUUUUUUCCAUGCUAGAUCAUUCACAGGACAAGGUGCAGACAUGAUUAAACUUUUGUCUCUAACCAAGCAUUUUUUUUCCCCAUCAUGCAGUGAACCAGUGAAGCAUGUUUUUCAGAGAUGAUUAAAUUCAUAUUGUUUCAGGUCAAUAACUACACUGUCUGUAACAUAGUCUGUUGCGUGGUUUGUUCAACAUACAUGGAUACUGGUUCCAACUUCCAAGUCUACACAAGUAAGCAGGGAUACUGGUUCCAAGUGCAAGAGAAACAUCCUGCUAAAGCUAAACUCAUUGAAUCAUCUACAGAUUUAUCUUUGUCAUGAGUAUGCAACUUGUAUUUCCAUGUUGGAGUAUAUGCAAAGUAUAUGGUGGAAUUGAAAGGAACCUAGUGCUGGGAGCGUGGCCACUCACAGGGCGAUCUAGAUGGCGCCGACGAGCGGGACGGAGCAAAGAAGAGGCCGCAGGCGAGCCCACCGCCUGCCGGAUCCAGUACAGCGCGUCCAGCAGCUGGUCCCCAUCCCCAGCACCAACUGCGUCAAGAUCCCACGUCCGUGUGCUGGGAGCGUGCUACUUCGCCGGCGACUGCGGUAGUAUCUGUCUCGGACACGGCUUCGAGGCCCUUUCCAGCGGGGAGCAGGUGGGGGAGGGGGCGCCGGAAGUAUGGCCGCGAGAGGCGCUGCUGCCCUCGACCUCCUCCAACAGUGGAUCCGGUAACCCCGCCACCGGAUCCGGCAACGCCGCCAUCGUAUUGGACCCCUCAACGAAGGUCAAAAUUUUGAUCUUUGUUACCAGGGACCGGUUGCGGCGAGACUAAGGGAGGAAGCAGCUAGGCGAGGGGAUGGAGGCGGCAAUGCGAGGGGACGGAGGCGGCGAAGUGAGGGGCGGUGACGGCGGCGGCGAGGUGAGGGGGCGGCGACGGCGAGCCGAGGAGACGGCGGCGGCGCAGGCGCUCCGUCGCGCGAGACGGACGAUGAGGCGAAGUAAGCGAGACGAACACGAUGGGAGGUUAGUGGAGGGACUGCGGGCUUCAGGUGAAAAAGGUCAGGGGUUUUUCUGCAAAACCUCCAUGGCGCAGCUUUUUCCGGGACGGAGGGAGUAGAAGUUACAACUAAAGGUGUAAUAAUUUAGAAUCAAAUUUGACAGACUUUGUGUUUCUCUGCUUUUCUGCAGGGACAAAUGUCAGUGCCGGUGAUAGAACAUGCAGAGACUAUGGCGAGAGGGAAAGCGAAAUCUGGGGGUUUGAGUGACCGGAAGAUCAAGUGUGACCAUCGUCUGGAGUACAUGUAUGGCUGGGAUGGCCGAUUGUGCAGGACAUUUUGGUCACCUUGAGCUCGCAAAGCCAAUGUUCCAUAUUGGAUUCAUUAAGACUACUUUCCAUAAAUGCGCUGUGUGUGCUUCAACUGUUUCAAUAUUCUGGUGGAUGAGGCAAUUCUUACCGGAGGCAGGAGAGAAGUAGCAGUUGGGUGGCCGGCGGGGGCUCUGCUUGCCUCUAGCGGCGCGGGGGCAGCGGGAUGGCGAUGGACCAGUCGACGGCAACGGGAAGAAUUCAACUUGAUAUUCGAUUCUGAAUUCAAAGGCUAUGUAUUCCCUCAAAAAGGUUAGCUGGCUGAAGAGGAUUGAUAAGAUGAAGCUACAGCCAAUUAAUUCUCUGUAUGAGAAAUUCAGUUCGAGCAACUGGAAGCAAGCCACAGUUAAAGAGGCACCGCAAUUUGUGUCUGGAAACCUGUAUAUUUCAAAAAAAAAAAGUAGCUCGAUUUAAUGGGGGAUAGAAGGAAUGGAACAGUGGAUCGCAUUUUCGAAUGUUCUUCAUGUGAAUAUACGACUUCUUAUCUCCGAAACUGAAUCUUCUAGCUGCAGACUUGCAGUCUAUCUACAGUACUUAUUGCAACUUUGCAAGUAGUUCAAGCUUUGGCAUUUACAUGGUUUAGUUAACAGUUC
Molecule: long non-coding RNA, 4632 nt
Organism: Lolium perenne
Lineage: Eukaryota; Viridiplantae; Streptophyta; Magnoliopsida; Poales; Poaceae
Source: RefSeq, a predicted model, not a curated record